CGGGUACUCAGGAUGUGCACGGCACAACUGGCAGAUGUCUUUCCUAAUGAUCAGCUUAACUGAUAAAGCCAUGACUGGGAAACAGAGAACUGAAGAGCUGUUGGUCUUACUUCAGAUACUGCAGAUGAAAAGGAACAUGCAAAAUUGACAUGGAAGCGGGCUCUUUGGACCUCCUCUUACUCUGCUGUUCAAUAAGAUCACAACUGAUCUUUAACAUCAUCAUCACUUUCUUGCACUAGUGAUGAAGGAAUAUAUCAACUGCAUUUCAAGCCCGAAGUCCUCAAGUGAAGUUACAAGAAUGGAGGUGAAGCUAAAUCAGAGAUGGCAG
Long non-coding RNA from Mobula hypostoma (lesser devil ray), 328 nucleotides. RefSeq lists it as uncharacterized. NCBI's taxonomy places the organism in Eukaryota, Metazoa, Chordata, Chondrichthyes, Myliobatiformes, Myliobatidae. The transcript is spliced from 3 exons. The record is from RefSeq and is a predicted model, not a curated record.